GGGAGAUUGUUGGAUUCGUCUGACAUGAAACCGGCGCACGGGUGCGUAACACGUAUGCAACCUACCUUUAACUGGGGUAUAGCUCAGAGAAAUCUGAAUUAAUCCCCCAUAAGACUACGACAUGGCAUCAUGAUGUAGUUAAAGCUCCGGCGGUUAAGGAUGGGCAUGCGGUACAUUAGCUAGUUGGUGAGGUAAUGGCUCACCAAGGCUACGAUGUAUAGGGGGUCUGAGAGGAUGAUCCCCCACACUGGUACUGAGACACGGACCAGACUCCUACGGGAGGCAGCAGUAGGGAAUAUUGGUCAAUGGACGCAAGUCUGAACCAGCCAUGCCGCGUGAAGGAUGAAGGCCCUCUGGGUCGUAAACUUCUUUUAUUAGGGAAGAAAACAUGGGAUGCGUCCCAAACUGACGGUACUUAAUGAAUAAGGAUCGGCUAACUUCGUGCCAGCAGCCGCGGUAAGACGAAGGAUCCAAGCGUUGUCCGGAUUUACUGGGUUUAAAGGGUGCGUAGGCGGAAAAUUAAGUCAGUGGUGAAAGCCCGCAGCUCAACUGUGGAACUGCCAUUGAAACUGAUUUUCUUGAAUACAGCUGAGGCAGAUGGAAUAUAACAUGUAGCGGUGAAAUGCUUAGAUAUGUUAUAGAACACCGAUUGCGAAGGCAGUCUGCUAAACUAUUAUUGACGCUGAGGCACGAAAGCGUG
Molecule: ribosomal RNA, 700 nt
Filed under: uncultured Bacteroidota bacterium
Lineage: Bacteria; Pseudomonadati; Bacteroidota
Description: bacterial SSU rRNA
Rfam family: Bacterial small subunit ribosomal RNA
Source: RNAcentral